RNAcentral lists this small RNA (962 nucleotides) under Metamycoplasma sualvi. Its description in RNAcentral is "bacterial LSU rRNA". The stretch from base 468 to 962 matches the Rfam family "Bacterial large subunit ribosomal RNA", at positions 1 to 497 of the family's 2925-position model. Lineage: Bacteria; Bacillati; Mycoplasmatota; Mycoplasmoidales; Metamycoplasmataceae. The record is from RNAcentral.
CGCCCGUCACACCAUGAGAGUUGAUAAUACCCAAAGACGGCUAGUUAACCUCGGAGACGGUUGUCUAAGGUAGGAUCGAUGAUUGGGGUGAAGUCGUAACAAGGUAUCCCUACGAGAACGUGGGGAUGGAUCACCUCCUUUCUACGGAGUACAAAGGCAUUAUUGUUUUUACAGUAAUGAAUUAAUUAAUUAAUUUUUUAAUCCAUUUUGGAUAUUUAUAUUUUUAUAUUUUUAAAAUAUAUGGUCUUUAUGUAAGAAAUUACAAUCUUGUAACCAGUUUUGAGAGUUCUACUCUCAAAAAUAUAGUUCUUUGAAAACUGAAUAGUAAAAUAAACAACGCAACAUGAGUCAUUUUAAAAUAAAUUAAAAUUGAUGAUAAUUGUUGCCGAGUCCAAAAAAUAGAUUUUAUUUUUUGAUCAAUCAAAUUAGAUACCAAUCUUAUUAAUAAACACAAUGGGCAAGUAAAUUUUUAAAUAAUAAAGAGCUUUUGGUGGAUGCCUUGGGUAUGGAAGUCGAUGAAGGACGUGAUAACCUGCGAUAAGCUUCGCUGAGUUGGACAUAAACUAUGAAGCGGAGAUUUCCGAAUGGGGGAACCCAACUGGAGUAAUAACCAGUUACUAUAAAGUGAAUUCAUAGCUUUAUAGGGAGACACGAUGUGAACUGAAACAUCUUAGUAACAUCAGGAAGAGAAAAUAAAUAAUGAUUCUGUUAGUAGUGGCGAGCGAAAGCGGAAGAGCCCAAACCAGUUUACUGGGGUUGUAGGACAUUCUACAUAGAGUUACAAAAUUAUUGUAUAGAAGAACAAGUUGGGAAGCUUGACCAUAGAAGGUGAAAGUCCUGUAUUUGAAAUGCAAUAAUCUCUUGAAUGUAUCCUGAGUAGGGCGGGGCACGUGAAACCCUGUCUGAAUCUGCCGGGACCACCCGGUAAGGCUAAAUACUAUCCAUACACCGAUAGUGAACAA